CACCAUCUGUCUUUGUGUUCACUAGUAGGUGCUAAUUGGCAUGAGUGAAAGGAGGUGGAAAUAAACACAUAGCCCAAUAUAGCCAGUCUUGUUUGACUGAAAAAGAAAAUUUCUUUGAACUUUAUUGGAUUUCCAACAAAAUGAGAUUUUCAGGGCAACAAAUGCUUAGAUUUUUACCAGUGUUACAACCACAUUACAUCUUAGGGAUAUGGAAAAACAUACAGGCCUGAUUCUGUGAUCAGUUUUCUAGCAAAAGAAAAAGAAUCUCAGCACUGAUGGUUUGAAGGACAGCAACUUUCAACUGUAAUUUUCAGAUCCAUUCCAGACUUCCUGCCUUAUUUUUCUUCAUGCAAGAUCAAGCUAUGAAACAAAUAGAGGGAUUUAACAUUCUGGAAAAUGCCUGGAGAACAGAAGGCCUGAAACUGAAAUCUAUGCAUACAUGUCUGCCUCCAGCUUGGAUUUUAAACCUUGUUGCACCCUUGUACAAAGGAUCUGAAGGUUGAAGGACUGAAGGUUGGUCUCAGAAAUGCAUCCUUCUUGCUAUAUAACAGAUAAGGACCAGCAUAGUUUGGUUUCUCAAGGCAUUUGUGUGUUAAAAUAAAUAAAUAAAUAAAUAUAAAGUAAGAAAAUGU
Molecule: long non-coding RNA, 632 nt
Filed under: Anas platyrhynchos platyrhynchos (common mallard)
Lineage: Eukaryota; Metazoa; Chordata; Aves; Anseriformes; Anatidae
Description: lncRNA (ENSAPLG00000025135.1)
Source: RNAcentral